RNAcentral lists this ribosomal RNA (253 nucleotides) under uncultured bacterium. RNAcentral describes it as "partial 16S ribosomal RNA". It matches the Rfam family "Bacterial small subunit ribosomal RNA", at positions 524 to 776 of the family's 1533-position model. The record is from RNAcentral.
GACGAACCGUACGAACGUUAUUCGGAAUCACUGGGCUUAAAGGGUGCGUAGGCGGCGCGGAAAGUUGGGUGUGAAAUCCCUCGGCUCAACCGAGGAACUGCGCCCAAAACUACCGCGCUUGAGGGAGACAGAGGUGAGCGGAACUAAGGGUGGAGCGGUGAAAUGCGUUGAUAUCCUUAGGAACACCGGUGGCGAAAGCGGCUCACUGGGUCUCUUCUGACGCUGAGGCACGAAAGCUAGGGGAGCAAACGGG